Molecule: small RNA, 552 nt
Filed under: Malus domestica (apple)
Lineage: Eukaryota; Viridiplantae; Streptophyta; Magnoliopsida; Rosales; Rosaceae
Description: sRNA MD03G0127200
Source: RNAcentral
GCCCGAUGAACUCUGGUGAUCUGUUAACUUUUCCCAUGAGGUGAAUGCUUGGUACUCGUUCAUCGGAUUGUGUAUUACUUGAGUUUGAACCAGAAAUUGAGAAAAGACUCCGUGAAACCCAAAGAGAACAAAGAGAAGUCAAUGAGAAAGAAAAGCAGCAAGAGAGCAAGAUGGCGUUAGUUCAUAAUGAGACGAUGGGAGAUCUUGAUAUUCCAACCAUUCUGGAAUCACCGUCAAGCAUAGCUCUUCCUACAGCUACAAGGAAUUAUGAAUUGAAGACUAUCCACUUUAAUAUGAUGCCUUCUUUUCAUGACAUGAGCACUGAAGAUCCAUUGGCACAUAUUAGAGAUAUCUUCAAUACGGUGUCAAACAUGGCAUUGGUAGAAGGAGUCACCGAGGAAAACCUCAGGAUGAAGGUCUUUCCAUACACUUUGAAAGACAUUGAAUUCUUUGAGGCCUAGAACCUUGACGAGUUGGAACGAUAUUCAAAAUAAAUUUUUGGAGAAAUUCUUCUCGACCCAGAAGACUGAUACUUUAAGAGAUAAUAUCAUG